RNAcentral lists this ribosomal RNA (450 nucleotides) under uncultured Glomeromycotina. RNAcentral describes it as "SSU rRNA". It matches the Rfam family "Eukaryotic small subunit ribosomal RNA", at positions 569 to 1024 of the family's 1831-position model. The record is from RNAcentral. Lineage: Eukaryota; Fungi; Glomeromycota.
AGCAGCCGCGGUAAUUCCAGCUCCAAUAGCGUAUAUUAAAGUUGUUGCAGUUAAAAAGCUCGUAGUUGAAUUUCGGGAUCAGUUGAUCGGUCGUGCCUCGGUACGUACUGGUCAAAUUGAUUCCUACCUUCUGACGAACCACGAUGUCAUUAAUUUGGUGUCGCGGGAAAUCAGGACUGUUACUUUGAAAAAAUUAGAGUGUUUAAAGCAGGCUCGCGCUUGAAUACAUUAGCAUGGAAUAAUGAAAUAGGACGUUUGAUUCUAUUUUGUUGGUUUCUAGGAUCGACGUAAUGAUUAAUAGGGAUAGUUGGGGGCAUUAGUAUUCAAUUGUCAGAGGUGAAAUUCUUGGAUUUAUUGAAGACUAACUACUGCGAAAGCAUUUGCCAAGGAUGUUUUCAUUAAUCAAGAACGAAAGUUAGGGGAUCGAAGACGAUCAGAUACCGUCGUAGU